RNAcentral lists this ribosomal RNA (497 nucleotides) under uncultured bacterium. RNAcentral describes it as "partial 16S ribosomal RNA". It matches the Rfam family "Bacterial small subunit ribosomal RNA", at positions 28 to 507 of the family's 1533-position model. The record is from RNAcentral.
GAUGAACGCUGGCGGCGUGCCUAAUACAUGCAAGUCGAGCGAACGGACGAGAAGCUUGCUUCUCUGAUGUUAGCGGCGGACGGGUGAGUAACACGUGGAUAACCUACCUAUAAGACUGGGAUAACUUCGGGAAACCGGAGCUAAUACCGGAUAAUAUUUUGAACCGCAUGGUUCAAAAGUGAAAGACGGUCUUGCUGUCACUUAUAGAUGGAUCCGCGCUGCAUUAGCUAGUUGGUAAGGUAACGGCUUACCAAGGCAACGAUGCAUAGCCGACCUGAGAGGUGGAUCGGCCACACUGGAACUGAGACACGGUCCAGACUCCUACGGGAGGCAGCAGUAGGGAAUCUUCGGCAAUGGGCGAAAGCCUGACGGAGCAACGCCGCGUGAGUGAUGAAGGUCUUCGGAUCGUAAAACUCUGUUAUUAGGGAAGAACAUAUGUGUAAGUAACUGUGCACAUCUUGACGGUACCUAAUCAGAAAGCCACGGCUAACUACGUG